GACGAACGCUGGCGGCGUGCUUAACACAUGCAAGUCGAACGGAAAGGCCCUGCUUUUGUGGGGUUCUCGAGUGGCGAACGGGUGAGUAACACGUGAGUAACCUGCCCUUGACUUUGGGAUAACUUCAGGAAACUGGGGCUAAUACCGGAUAUGAGCUCCUGCUGCAUGGUGGGGGUUGGAAAGUUUCGGCGGUUGGGGAUGGACUCGCGGCUUAUCAGCUUGUUGGUGGGGUAGUGGCUUACCAAGGCUUUGACGGGUAGCCGGCCUGAGAGGGUGACCGGCCACAUUGGGACUGAGAUACGGCCCAGACUCCUACGGGAGGCAGCAGUGGGGAAUAUUGAACAAUGGGCGGAAGCCUGAUGCAGCAACGCCGCGUGCGGGAUGACGGCCUUCGGGUUGUAAACCGCUUUCGCCUGUGACGAAGCGUGAGUGACGGUAAUGGGUAAAGAAGCACCGGCUAACUACGUG
RNAcentral lists this ribosomal RNA (468 nucleotides) under uncultured bacterium. RNAcentral's name for it is "partial 16S ribosomal RNA". It matches the Rfam family "Bacterial small subunit ribosomal RNA", at positions 28 to 507 of the family's 1533-position model. The record is from RNAcentral.